CACAAGAGGAAAAAGGAAGAUGAUGAGUGAGUCCACACUGAAAACUAAUUCCUGAGGUGAGAGGUGCAAAGUACAGAACACUCCUUACACAAGGCAUGGCUCACUUAACCUCAUCCCACACAAACAAGAGCCUGCCUGGCAAGGCCCUCCUAAAGGGUUGAGAAAAUAUUCUCCUUUGAUAUAACAUACAACAUACAUGGGUCAGUAAAAGGCAACUACUCCUGAGUUCCACAGACAUUGUCUUAUUAUAGCUCAAGUGUGACCUCAUAGUCAUGUGCUUGUCUACCAGGCCGACCCUCCAAAAAGGUUCUGAUUGCCCACGUGUGUGUGCGCGAUUUUUAUAUGUAAGGAAAUUGAAUUUUUGAAACCCAGUACCUCAAAAGAUACUGAGGAAAAUGUUGUCUCCAUGAGUUGGAAGAAUGGCGCUCUGGAACGGAUAUAUUCUUUUUUCUACUGUGGGUCUUGGAGCGUUUCCUCAUCAUUCUGAAACCAAAUGUCAUUGGAAUUUUCUGGUAGGACUCCACCAAGUAGGAGGGUUUCUUUCCCCAUCUCACAAGUGAAGAAGCCGAGGUCCAGAGAACGUAACAUGGCGGGUGCCGGGUCCCAGGGCGGAUGCUCACUGCGCCUGCGCUGGCUGUGUUUCCCACCCCCCGGCUGCUGCUGUCCCUGCCGAAUCUUGCUGUGUGCGUUGAGAUCAGAAAAUGGACAAUUUUUCUCAGCUCCUCGGGCUCCAAGGUGCUGGCAACACGUGAAGGAGGUACCGAAUCCCAAAAUGGAUUUAAGGGCAACAGCAGCGUAUGAAACAGUUGGGGUGAAUGGACAAAACACGGCAAAGCAAAUCGCCUCAUGGCAUUGGGUGUCAGACAGAACCGAGUGCACAUUCGGGUGCUUUUGCUUAUUAACAAGAAGACUGUGAGAAACUUCUCUUUGUAGCCGUAGUUUUUUUUUACUUCAUGGAAUUCUUGGGUGUAGAGUGCCCGGCCAUAGCUCCCUAAAUGGAUCUCUUCCUACACGGAUGGGCUGCUGUCUGUUUCUGCAGUGCCAGGAUGUCUUCUUUCUGGCGCCUCCAGACGGUGACCUAAACCAGCCUGUGAACUGUGCUCAGUUAUGUGGGGAACAUCCUGGAGACAGUUAUGUCUGGUGCACCGGCUGCUGGCCCAACUGUGAUGAGGUUAAAUAUAACAUCGAUGACUUCACGGGAGCCUGCUGGAGCGGCUGUGCCUCCUGGCAUGGCGCCUCCUCUACCCACCGUCCUGUCCACUGGGCAGUGAGCAGCCAGCCAGCAGGUGCAGCUCCUCAUCUGCGGAGCCUCUAAAGGACCAUCCUGCUCUAAGAUGUCGGGAUUCCCCCACAGGCUAACAGGAGAAGGCAGACAUCAGAACUGUGGUUGCCAUUUCUUCCCUUAUUUCAGGCCCAAGUGUGUGGGCAUCACAUCACAUAUGUUCCAAAGAGUGGUGUGGGCCUUCUGUGACGGUUACAAAUGGCCCGGUCCAGGGCAGUCCUGGGGCUUGGGUGAGGUGGUGGAUGGCAGGGCUGGAACCAGAACCGGGUUUCCGGCCUCCUGGUCCUGUGCUGGCCAAGGCACAGUGCCAGGGCAGUCCCAUCUUGAUGGCACCAUUACUUAGAGUUCGUGACACCAACUCAGGGCCUUGUCAUUGUUGCUGCCAGUGUCCUGUGGCAGGAGGAGGGACAUGGAAUAGGCUCAUGGGCAACUUCCUUCCUGGGAGACAGUUUUGAACAAGCUCAGCUGACCGGGAAGAGUCCCCCAUGUGGUUCUUGGGGCUGAAAUAAGUAAAAUAAUCCCCACCACUAGCCCCAGGGAAAACAAAACAAAACAAAACAAAACAAAACAAAAAACCCAGGCAAAAUACCCAUUACAAAAUCUAAAACCCUCCUUUGUUGAAAACGAUAGUCCUGCUGUUGCUGUUCAAGGUCCACCUGUUUGCCACUCGGGGCCCACUGAGCCCUUGCCUUCAUUUUCUCCUUCAUUUACGGACUCGGUUCACCCACACAGCUCACAAACCCAGGUCGUCUAGGGCCCUGGAUGAUGGAGUCUGCAGAAUAAACCCCAUCUUCUCCUAGUUGUCACCACUCACCACACCCUCCUGUCCUUAUCUUUAUUCGACUCAAGAGACCAGCACUUACCGGGCAAGGUGCAUAGGUUUGUACCACUGGCUUUUGGGCUUCUGUGAUGUGCU
This 2198-nucleotide long non-coding RNA is filed under the name Rhinopithecus bieti (black snub-nosed monkey). RNAcentral describes it as "lncRNA (ENSRBIG00000045430.1)". The record is from RNAcentral. Lineage: Eukaryota; Metazoa; Chordata; Mammalia; Primates; Cercopithecidae.